This 538-nucleotide ribosomal RNA is filed under the name Candida tropicalis. Its description in RNAcentral is "partial large subunit ribosomal RNA". It matches the Rfam family "Eukaryotic large subunit ribosomal RNA", at positions 94 to 648 of the family's 3401-position model. The record is from RNAcentral. Lineage: Eukaryota; Fungi; Ascomycota; Pichiomycetes; Serinales; Debaryomycetaceae.
UGAAGCGGCAAAAGCUCAAAUUUGAAAUCUGGCUCUUUCAGAGUCCGAGUUGUAAUUUGAAGAAGGUAUCUUUGGGUCUGGCUCUUGUCUAUGUUUCUUGGAACAGAACGUCACAGAGGGUGAGAAUCCCGUGCGAUGAGAUGAUCCAGGCCUAUGUAAAGUUCCUUCGAAGAGUCGAGUUGUUUGGGAAUGCAGCUCUAAGUGGGUGGUAAAUUCCAUCUAAAGCUAAAUAUUGGCGAGAGACCGAUAGCGAACAAGUACAGUGAUGGAAAGAUGAAAAGAACUUUGAAAAGAGAGUGAAAAAGUACGUGAAAUUGUUGAAAGGGAAGGGCUUGAGAUCAGACUUGGUAUUUUGUAUGUUACUUCUUCGGGGGUGGCCUCUACAGUUUAUCGGGCCAGCAUCAGUUUGGGCGGUAGGAGAAUUGCGUUGGAAUGUGGCACGGCUUCGGUUGUGUGUUAUAGCCUUCGUCGAUACUGCCAGCCUAGACUGAGGACUGCGGUUUAUACCUAGGAUGUUGGCAUAAUGAUCUUAAGUCGC